UUCAUAGAGUGUAAAGGCAUAAGGGAGCUUGACUGCGAGACCUACAAGUCGAGCAGGGUCGAAAGACGGACUUAGUGAUCCGGUGGUUCCGCAUGGAAGGGCCAUCGCUCAACGGAUAAAAGCUACCCCGGGGAUAACAGGCUUAUCUCCCCCAAGAGUUCACAUCGACGGGGAGGUUUGGCACCUCGAUGUCGGCUCAUCGCAUCCUGGGGCUGUAGUCGGUCCCAAGGGUUGGGCUGUUCGCCCAUUAAAGCGGUACGCGAGCUGGGUUCAGAACGUCGUGAGACAGUUCGGUCCCUAUCCGUCGUGGGCGUAGGAAAUUUGAGAGGAGCUGUCCUUAGUACGAGAGGACCGGGAUGGACAUACCUCUGGUGUACCAGUUGUCGUGCCAACGGCAUAGCUGGGUAGCUAUGUGUGGACGGGAUAAGUGCUGAAAGCAUCUAAGCAUGAAGCCCCCCUCAAGAUGAGAUUUCCCAACUUCGGUUAUAAGAUCCCUCAAAGAUGAUGAGGUUAAUAGGUUCGAGGUGGAAGCAUGGUG
RNAcentral lists this ribosomal RNA (538 nucleotides) under Staphylococcus aureus. RNAcentral's name for it is "partial 23S ribosomal RNA". It matches the Rfam family "Bacterial large subunit ribosomal RNA", at positions 2341 to 2880 of the family's 2925-position model. The record is from RNAcentral. Lineage: Bacteria; Bacillati; Bacillota; Bacilli; Caryophanales; Staphylococcaceae.